GACGAACGCUGGCGGCGUGCUUAACACAUGCAAGUCGAGCGGUAAGGCCCUUCGGGGUACACGAGCGGCGAACGGGUGAGUAACACGUGAGUAAUCUGCCCAUCACUUCGGGAUAACUCCGGGAAACCGGUGCUAAUACCGAAUAUGACCACUUCAGGCAUCUGAUGGUGGUGGAAAGUUCCGGCGGUGAUGGAUGAGCUCGCGGCCUAUCAGCUUGUUGGUGGGGUAGUGGCCUACCAAGGCUUCGACGGGUAGCCGGCCUGAGAGGGUGACCGGCCACACUGGGACUGAGACACGGCCCAGACUCCUACGGGAGGCAGCAGUGGGGAAUAUUGGACAAUGGGCGAAAGCCUGAUCCAGCAACGCCGCGUGAGGGAUGACGGCCUUCGGGUUGUAAACCUCUUUCAGCAGGGACGAAGCGCGAGUGACGGUACCUGCAGAAGAAGCACCGGCCAACUACGUG
This 463-nucleotide ribosomal RNA is filed under the name uncultured bacterium. Its description in RNAcentral is "partial 16S ribosomal RNA". It matches the Rfam family "Bacterial small subunit ribosomal RNA", at positions 28 to 507 of the family's 1533-position model. The record is from RNAcentral.